Molecule: ribosomal RNA, 505 nt
Filed under: uncultured bacterium
Lineage: Bacteria
Description: partial 16S ribosomal RNA
Rfam family: Bacterial small subunit ribosomal RNA
Source: RNAcentral
GACGAACGCUGGCGGCGUGCCUAAUACAUGCAAGUAGAACGCACAGUUUAUACCGUAGCUUGCUACACCAUAGACUGUGAGUUGCGAACGGGUGAGUAACGCGUAGGUAACCUGCCUGGUAGCGGGGGAUAACUAUUGGAAACGAUAGCUAAUACCGCAUAAUAUUGAUUAUUGCAUGAUAAUUGAUUGAAAGAUGCUAUUGCAUCACUACCAGAUGGACCUGCGUUGUAUUAGCUAGUAGGUGAGGUAACGGCUCACCUAGGCGACGAUACAUAGCCGACCUGAGAGGGUGAUCGGCCACACUGGGACUGAGACACGGCCCAGACUCCUACGGGAGGCAGCAGUAGGGAAUCUUCGGCAAUGGACGAAAGUCUGACCGAGCAACGCCGCGUGAGUGAAGAAGGUUGUCGGAUCGGAAAGCUCUGUUGUAAGAGAAGAACGGGUGUGAGAGUGGAAAGUUCACACUGUGACGGUAUCUUACCAGAAAGGGACGGCUAACUACGUG